RNAcentral lists this ribosomal RNA (357 nucleotides) under Serratia marcescens. RNAcentral's name for it is "bacterial SSU rRNA". It matches the Rfam family "Bacterial small subunit ribosomal RNA", at positions 294 to 643 of the family's 1533-position model. The record is from RNAcentral. Lineage: Bacteria; Pseudomonadati; Pseudomonadota; Gammaproteobacteria; Enterobacterales; Yersiniaceae.
GAGAGGAUGACCAGCCACACUGGAACUGAGACACGGUCCAGACUCCUACGGGAGGCAGCAGUGGGGAAUAUUGCACAAUGGGCGCAAGCCUGAUGCAGCCAUGCCGCGUGUGUGAAGAAGGCCUUCGGGUUGUAAAGCACUUUCAGCGAGGAGGAAGGUGGUGAACUUAAUACGUUCACCAAUUGACGUUACUCGCAGAAGAAGCACCGGCUAACUCCGUGCCAGCAGCCGCGGUAAUACGGAGGGUGCAAGCGUUAAUCGGAAUUACUGGGCGUAAAGCGCACGCAGGCGGUUUGUUAAGUCAGAUGUGAAAUCCCCGGGCUCAACCUGGGAACUGCAUUUGAAACUGGCAAGCUA